GUACUGCCUGGGCCCUGCAGGUGUCGCCAAAGCUUCAGCAGCAGCGUGUCUGUCAGCAGCAUGUACUGUACAGUGGGGCAGCUGGGCUUUAUUUUGCUUCCCAGACUGGAAACCACUGUAGUGCAGUUGGACUUGACGUCUAGCAACACAACAUCACAGACUUUACACACGCAGACUCGGCGACUUAGCGCGUUAUCCGCUGCAUUAACAGCUGUGAUGCCAGUGUGAGAGCGCCUCAGUACCUCUUGCUGAGCUCGGGACUGCAGCGACAGGACGGAAGACAUAAGAGGAGAAAGAGAGGAGGACGAAACAGAGAGCAAGCCAGCGAAAUCGGAGGAGUACGUGGCAGCAUGUUGAUUAGAGCUGAGUUUAAGAAACAAACCUGACUGUGGAGGAGACAGAGGCAGACGUAUAGAGCGAGAGAUAGAUAGGUCCUCAGCUCAAAGGCAGGAAAGAGGCUGAGACACUCACUUGAAGCCAGACAGGUUGACAAGUUGAGAGACCUGCCAAGAAUUCAGACUACUGGCCAUGGCUGUGGGCCUGCUGCUUGGAGGAUAGAGUUCAGAUCAAUCACACCCACACUGCAACUUCCUAAACCUUCAUCCAUCCUCCUCAGCCCUGAUCCUGACCCAAAAAGACCCCCGUAUCUCUUCCUUUUGUGCUCCUCUUCCUCUCACUUUUUACCCCGAGUCCUGUGAAUUCUGCAGUAGCAACACUGUCAAAAGACAGUCAAACAAUUCAAUCACACAGACUCAGCAGUGUAGUUUUCAACCAGCUAACUGGCUUAACAUUCAGUCAGAGAAGAGUGACGUCACAGCCUGUCGCUGAGCAGUGGAGAGACAGUCGCCUGCUGCAGAGUUUGACAGCGGCCUUUUAUUCCUUCACAUGGACUGUUGAUGAAGAAAGAUGGCAGCGAGACUGGCUGGCGCCCCUUCCUCUCGGCCCCCCUCCCUCCCCCCAGCGGCCGCGGCUCGGACCGGUUAAGGUUGGUCUAUUGGCAUCCAUCGCAGCAUCGGCAGCAGCUGGCAGAGCGCUGGAAGGAGCAGUAUGCAGGAAACUGACUUACCGGCCACAAAUGCCUUUAAAGAGUGCAAGUUCCACUGCACCAAUGGGAAUUGUUUGCGUCUGGGCUCGCUGAUCUGCAACCAGCUGAAUAACUGUGGGGACAACAGCGAUGAGGAGAACUGCCCUGUGGUCACCCAGCACCCUCCGCCGGGCAUCUUCAACUGAGCCACAGGACAUCAAGUGUUGAGUGCAAUUGAUUUCCUGUGGAAAGGUUGCUAAAGAGGUCAAAACUCCAGCAACACUUUAUUGGCCUAACAAUAAAGUUGUUCUAUGUACUACAAGUGUUGCUGGAGUUUUGACCUCUUUAGACUUUUGCCCUUCUCUGUGCACCUUGGAAGUAGGUGAGGUUGUGCCAGUAACCCCUACUCUGCUUGAAAGGUUGCUAGAGCAACUGGAUGUUAUUUUGAAACUGUGUGCAUGUAAUAUUCUUAAGUUACAAACAUAAUUCCUUAUCAGUAUUAUCACUGCAAUGCUUCUGCUUUUCUAUAAUGUGACUUCAGAAUAUAUUAGAAAUGUACAAAUAGGUGACAGAUUGAAGGAAAAACCUGAAGAAAUAAGUGGAGAAACAUAAGAAAUGCAGUGUUUCCAUACUCCUUCCAUGAAGGAGUUGCUGAAUAGUUUGAGUAUGAAAUCGAUGUGAUUCAUAUGUUACAGCCUUUACAGUCACCAGAUAUCAACUCAAUUGAACAUCUAUGACAGGUGAUGUGUUUUCCACUGUCAUCAUCAAAACAUCAAAUGAGGUCACCUCUACCCUGCUUUAUCUCUCCCAAAUUGUAUAAAGUUCUUAAAGUUUGCUUAUUUUUAUAUUUCUUAUUUUUUAUUUUAUUUACUCUUCUUUAUAAGUGUUAAAAAAAAAAAUCUGGACGGCAGAGGAAAAAUGAAACUUCCUUCGUUUUGACAUAAGCUUUGAUAUAUAACAGUAUAUAUAUACUGCUGUGCUAAAAUAAAGAAUAAAAAAAAAACACCAAAUGAGGAAAUAUCAUUUGUAAGAAUGCUGUUAAUCCCUCCAGUUAAGUUUCACACACUUGGAGAAUCUUUGACAAGAAGCUGUUUUAAACAUCUUAGGAAGACGUUUCAUGUUAUUUUUUCCUUUCAUAUGUCAGCUAUCUGUACGUGAAAUCUGCAGCCUCUGUACCAUGAAACCAAAAAUGUAUCUUGUGACCAAGUCUGACCAGACAACCCGUGUUAUUGUUCUCCUUUAUGCUUUUUUGGCCUCUCAGUUCUGUAAAUGAGAUAAAACACUGUAACCUGCUAAUUGCAGACUUGUCAAACCCAUCUCUGUGAUCUAAGAGCUCCAUACUAUCAUCCCAGCAUGCUACAGUCCAAGCCAUAUAUGUGGACAUGUUGACACAUGCAGCUGUCAUGCACAGUUGGUCAUGAAUUUGCUCAUGUAAGACGCUCAAGUGGAUCCUAUAGGACAUGUGCAGAGUCUUGCAGUUAUGGAGACAAGGAAAGUAUCAUUUGAGAUUUACUCUGGCCACUUUAAACUUCGGUUUAACUAACUUUAGAUAGUUGUUUUUUUAAGCAUAGGGGAUAAUAAUGAUUUCACAUCACAACAUCAACAAACAAAAACAAGAUUUUUAUCGACUCAACCUGUCCAGCAUAACUGCUGCACGUUUUUGCCAACAAGCUGGGUGGUGAAACACCAAGAUAGUAGCGUACUAUCAAGCCUAUUAAAGCAGGCUUACUUCAACAUCUGCCAUUCUCCAAAUAGCAGGGAAGACACAUUUAGAGGUCUAAGUGAUCUCUGAAAGAGUAAUGGCUGUCGAAAGCACCGUUUAUCUCACAUAGAACCUUUGAGGAAGAAUCGGUGUUUUCAAGAGUGUGUUCCAUUACAGAUCAAGAGCUGAACACUACAUGCUGCCAUCU
Molecule: RNA transcript, 2934 nt
Organism: Thunnus maccoyii (southern bluefin tuna)
Lineage: Eukaryota; Metazoa; Chordata; Actinopteri; Scombriformes; Scombridae
Gene name: low-density lipoprotein receptor class A domain-containing protein 4-like
Exons: 4
Source: RefSeq, a predicted model, not a curated record